AAAUACUAGAAUUAACAUUAUCUGUCAUGUUUGUCUAUCAAGGUACUCAUAAUACAUUCAGACAUUUACUUACAUUAUAAGUUAAAAAUAGUUAUAUAUGUAGUAUAUCCAUGCUGACAUUGUAAAGGAACAACCAAAGUAUGUGUUCUGCAUUUCAAUAAAAUAUGAAGGUUUUUAAACAAUUUACAAUUAGUGAGUUUAAAUUGAUGAAAAUAGAAAGAAAACCUGUAUUGAAUUCUAAAUAUUUAACAUGCUAUUGCAGAAAUACUAGCGCUCUGUAAAAAGGAAUAUGAAAAUGUGGGAUGCUGGAAUUAAUUCAGUAUGUAGGCUAAAGGUAGUUAUACAGCUCCAUAGAAAAGUGAUAGGCAACAUUGUGUAUUUUGCAAAUAGAUUAAACAUACAAAUUAUAUUUGAAAGAACAGAUAAGGUUUUCAAAUAAUUACAGCAUAGGGUGCGUGGUCGCUAUCAGAGGUUACAGC
Molecule: non-coding RNA, 479 nt
Organism: Pelobates cultripes (western spadefoot toad)
Lineage: Eukaryota; Metazoa; Chordata; Amphibia; Anura; Pelobatidae
Source: the annotation of a GenBank genome assembly